ACUCCUACGGGAGGCAGCAGUGGGGAAUAUUGGACAAUGGGGGCAACCCUGAUCCAGCAAUGCCGCGUGUGUGAAGAAGGCCUUCGGGUUGUAAAGCACUUUUGUCAGGAGCGAAAUAGUGCGCGGCUAAUACCUGUCGCGGAUGACGUACC
RNAcentral lists this ribosomal RNA (152 nucleotides) under Dyella marensis. RNAcentral's name for it is "partial 16S ribosomal RNA". It matches the Rfam family "Bacterial small subunit ribosomal RNA", at positions 335 to 497 of the family's 1533-position model. Lineage: Bacteria; Pseudomonadati; Pseudomonadota; Gammaproteobacteria; Lysobacterales; Rhodanobacteraceae. The record is from RNAcentral.